UACGGGGGGGGCAAGCGUUGUUCGGAAUUACUGGGCGUAAAGCGCGCGUAGGCGGCCCUUCAAGUCGGGCGUGAAAGCUCCGGGCUUAACCCGGAAAUUGCGUUCGAUACUGUCGGGCUAGAGUGUGGAAGGGGCUACCGGAAUUCCGUGUGUAGCGGUGAAAUGCGCAGAUAUCAGGAGGAACACCGAUGGCGAAGGCAGGUCUCUGGGCAUUAACUGACGCUGAGGAGCGAAAGCAUGGGGAGCGAACAGG
This 253-nucleotide ribosomal RNA is filed under the name uncultured bacterium. Its description in RNAcentral is "partial 16S ribosomal RNA". It matches the Rfam family "Bacterial small subunit ribosomal RNA", at positions 524 to 776 of the family's 1533-position model. The record is from RNAcentral.